AGUGAACGCUGGCGGUAGGCCUAACACAUGCAGGUCGAACGGCAGCACAGUAAGAGCUUGCUCUUACGGGUGGCGAGUGGCGGACGGGUGAGGAAUACAUCGGAAUCUACUUUUUCGUGGGGGAUAACGUAGGGAAACUUACGCUAAUACCGCAUACGACCUACGGGUGAAAGCAGGGGAUCUUCGGACCUUGCGCGAUUGAAUGAGCCGAUGUCGGAUUAGCUAGUUGGCGGGGUAAAGGCCCACCAAGGCGACGAUCCGUAGCUGGUCUGGGAGGAUGAUCAGCCACACUGGAACUGAGACACGGUCCAGACUCCUACGGGAGGCAGCAGUGGGGAAUAUUGGACAAUGGGCGCAAGCCUGAUCCAGCCAUACCGCGUGGGUGAAGAAGGCCUUCGGGUUGUAAAGCCCUUUUGUUGGGAAAGAAAAGCAGCAGGUUAAUACCCCGCUGUUCUGACGGUACCCAAAGAAUAAGCACCGGCUAACUUCGUG
RNAcentral lists this ribosomal RNA (492 nucleotides) under uncultured bacterium. Its description in RNAcentral is "partial 16S ribosomal RNA". It matches the Rfam family "Bacterial small subunit ribosomal RNA", at positions 29 to 507 of the family's 1533-position model. The record is from RNAcentral.